CAUGAUGGAAUGUUGGACAGUUGGCCCUGUCUUCCAAAUUUCCAAAUUGGUCUAUCUUUCUGCUGACUGUUCUGUUGGCUUUCCAGCUAAGCUCUCCUUUACUUUUCUUUCUUUUUGUUCUUUCUAAAUUCUCUCAUUACAUUUCUUCCUUGUUUCAACACUGUUAAUGGAGGUGAAACCCUGAAAGAGGGCAUCAUUGUAAUUUCAGGAUCCUCCUUCCAUAGACAAAAUUGCUUUCUUCCUGUUCCUCUACAUUAUAAAAGGGGAAAUGAAAUCCAUUCCACCAUCAUAACCCUGCUGCCUGAAACAGGGGAAAUCAAGGUUUGUUUGAGGGCAACCCAUUUCUUCUUCUGCGGUUGGAAACUGGAAUCCAACAUCAUGAGCUUUAAAAACUAUUAUUCCUUCUGGGUUUCACUUGGUUUUGUUGGGGAAAAAAUCAACCUUGAAGCUCAGAAUUGAUAUUAUAGUUCAGCUUAAAUUCUUUGAAGGGAUGCAAUAAGUACUUAUUUUUCUUAUUUGAUUCUGUUGUAUGAUUUUGAAAACUGGCUCCUUUUUCAUCAUCAGAUGUACUGUCUUUAUGGUUUUUAUCUCCUUCAGAUGAGUGUCAACUAAAUUUACAUUUUGGAUUUGAAAUUCUCUUCGUGGGUACUUGGGAUAAAAAAAAAAAAACCAAUAGUUGAAGUCAUACUUCACACAUAGUAUGAUUGGAACUGUGAAAUGAGCUAGUUGCAGGGCAACAAUGGUAAGUUGUUAGUCUAUCUCCAUCAGGCACAAUUUUUGAUGAGGCUUUUGUUUUGCAAGAUUCAUUGUCCUCCCUUCAUUUGCUUUUGUAAACCUUCCCCUCAUAUAUACACUCCUGGACCACUGAAAUUAGAGGAUAUCCCACAUCCGCCCUUGCCUUCAAAACUUCUGUCAUUUCCUGAAACAUCUGAUCAGUUAUCUGAUGACACCAAUGAGAUCAAGGAGGAGAACUUAGAUGGGAUUCCAAAACCAGCUGAGCCUUGUCUCAAAAGUAGUCUCAGAAAGCGCAUUUCGGACUCCAGUGCUCCAAAACAGGAGCUCAAGAAGAGAGUACAAUGGAUGGACUUUUUCGGGAAAGAACUUGUUGAGAUCAGGGAAUUUGAAUGCAGUGAACUAGAAGAUACUGACAAUGAAGACAACAAAAGAGGCUGCAUUUGUGUUAUUUUAUGACCCUCUUAAUCAGCUUCCACUCUGCAAAUUCCUAAAGCAACUGCAUGAACUACAAGAGAAAGAAGGAGAAACAUAUAUCCACCCAAUGAGUCUAAAAUUUGAACAGAGCCACAGUGAUUGAAAUUCAGUUUUAGUCAAUUUCGCCUUACCAGCUCUCACAAGAGACUGUUUUAUGAGAAUUCAAUAGAGUCGAUAUUCACUCUUGCUUUAGAAGAAUGUUAAGCUGUGUAUUUUAUCUUACACAACAACAUUGUGUUCCUCUGGUUAUGAAAUUUCACACAUGUUCUGAAACUUUAUCAAGUUGUUGUUUU
Non-coding RNA from Prunus mume (Japanese apricot), 1502 nucleotides. Lineage: Eukaryota; Viridiplantae; Streptophyta; Magnoliopsida; Rosales; Rosaceae. The record is from RefSeq and is a predicted model, not a curated record.